GAUGAACGCUGGCGGCGUGCUUAACACAUGCAAGUCGAACGGAAAGGCUCCUGCUUGCAGGGGUACUCGAGUGGCGAACGGGUGAGUAACACGUGGGUGAUCUGCCCUGCACUUCGGGAUAAGCCUGGGAAACUGGGUCUAAUACCGGAUAGGACGAUGGUUUGGAUGCCAUUGUGGAAAGUUUUUUCGGUGUGGGAUGAGCUCGCGGCCUAUCAGCUUGUUGGUGGGGUAAUGGCCUACCAAGGCGUCGACGGGUAGCCGGCCUGAGAGGGUGUACGGCGACAUUGGGACUGAGAGACGGCCCAGACUCCUACGGGAGGCAGCAGUGGGGAAUAUUGCACAAUGGGCGCAAGCCUGAUGCAGCGACGCCGCGUGGGGGAUGACGGCCUUCGGGUUGUAAACUCCUUUCGCUAGGGACGAAGCGCAAGUGACGGUACCUGGAGAAGAAGCACCGGCUAACUACGUG
This 466-nucleotide ribosomal RNA is filed under the name uncultured bacterium. RNAcentral's name for it is "partial 16S ribosomal RNA". It matches the Rfam family "Bacterial small subunit ribosomal RNA", at positions 28 to 507 of the family's 1533-position model. The record is from RNAcentral.